GUAUAAGGUUUAUAGGCAACAAAGGCCCAUUAUUACAUUCUAUGACAUACAUUAGGGGUAUAUGAAGAAACAUAGGCCUGGAAAUGUAAGGGAAAGAAAAGACUAUCCCCAAAUCCCAAGUAACUUGGAGAGAUUAUCCAGGUCUACAAAAGGUGCACAGGUGGAAAUAUAAAGAUGACAAGCGUGCACAAUGCUCCCUAGAGAACCAGCAACAACUUAUCAGGUUUAUUCAAUAAUGAUCCUUCCGCAGGUUCACCUACGGAAA
This 265-nucleotide unclassified non-coding RNA is filed under the name uncultured fungus. RNAcentral's name for it is "sequence contains ITS1". The record is from RNAcentral. Lineage: Eukaryota; Fungi.